RNAcentral lists this unclassified non-coding RNA (307 nucleotides) under Hevea brasiliensis (rubber tree). The record is from RNAcentral. Lineage: Eukaryota; Viridiplantae; Streptophyta; Magnoliopsida; Malpighiales; Euphorbiaceae.
CAUGAUGUGUGCUGCUGACCCACGACACGGUCGCUACCUAACUGCCUCUGCUAUGUUUAGAGGCAAGAUGAGCACGAAGGAGGUAGACGAGCAAAUGCUCAACGUGCAGAAUAAGAACUCUUCUUACUUCGUUGAGUGGAUUCCAAACAAUGUCAAAUCAACUGUUUGUGAUAUCCCUCCAACUGGUUUGAAGAUGGCUUCUACUUUCAUUGGAAAUUCCACAUCAAUUCAGGAAAUGUUCCGCCGUGUGAGUGAGCAGUUCACUGCCAUGUUUAGAAGGAAAGCUUUCUUGCAUUGGUACACAGGU